RNAcentral lists this ribosomal RNA (441 nucleotides) under uncultured bacterium. Its description in RNAcentral is "partial 16S ribosomal RNA". It matches the Rfam family "Bacterial small subunit ribosomal RNA", at positions 338 to 795 of the family's 1533-position model. The record is from RNAcentral.
CCUACGGGAGGCAGCAGUGGGGAAUAUUGCACAAUGGGGGAAACCCUGAUGCAGCGACGCCGCGUGAGUGAAGAAGUAAUUCGUUAUGUAAAGCUCUAUCAGCAGGGAAGAAAAUGACGGUACCUGAGUAAGAAGCCCCGGCUAACUACGUGCCAGCAGCCGCGGUAAUACGUAGGGGGCAAGCGUUAUCCGGAUUGACUGGGUGUAAAGGGAGCGUAGACGGCAGUGCAAGUCUGGCGUGAAAGGCGGGGGCUCAACCCCCGGACUGCUCUGGAAACUGUACGGCUGGAGUGCAGGAGAGGGAAGUGGAAUUCCUAGUGUAGCGGUGAAAUGCGGAGAGAUUAGGAGGAACACCAGUGGCGAAGGCGGCUUACUGGACUGUAACUGACGUGGAGGCUCGAAAGCGUGGGGAGCAAACAGGAUUAGAUACCCCUGGUAGUC